Molecule: long non-coding RNA, 1228 nt
Filed under: Setaria italica (foxtail millet)
Lineage: Eukaryota; Viridiplantae; Streptophyta; Magnoliopsida; Poales; Poaceae
Description: long non-coding RNA (SITA_LNC005517)
Source: RNAcentral
UCGAUCGAUCAACUUCAUAAUUUAAUUUCUCUUAUACAUAUAGUAUAGCAUUACCAUGCCUCAAGCUUGCAUCUCAAUGGCGAGCUCGAUCUUUGCAGUAGCUAGCAGUAGUAACUAACGGCACGCACAAAGCAUCGAUGAGCACCAUGCAUGGAUCAUCACAGCGAAGACGUGCUUAGCUUGCGUAACCAGUAUGUAUCGUCGGAGUAGCUAGCCGAUGAAUUAGUAGCUGUAGUUCUUGACGAACAUGCCCUCCUUGGCCUCGGCGGCCUCGCCGUCGGAGGUGUACUUGCCGAGCUGCGCCAGCGAGUUGGCCUUGGCGCGCAGCAGCAGCGCGUCCUGCGCCGCCUUGACGUUCUCCGGCACGCCGCCCCACGUCUUGAGGCAGGUGUUCUGCAGCGCCCGCGCGUAGGAGAAGGACACGUGCCACGGGUUGGGCCCCUGGUUCAUGGCGUUGAGGUUCUGCGUCGCCUCCACCUCCGACUGCCCGCCGGAGAGGAACAUGAUGCCGGGGACGGAGGGCGGGAUGCGGCGGUGGAGGAGCUUCAGGGUGUACUCGGCGACCUGCUCCGGCGUGGCCCGGUCCUUAGCCUCGGCGCCCGGCGUCACCAUGGAUGGCUUGAGCAGGAUGCCCUCGAACAUGACGUUGUUCUCCGCCAUGGCGUAGAAGGUCUCGGCCCACACCUUCUGCGCCACCUCGAAGGUCCGCUCGAUGCCGUGCUCGCCGUCCAGCAGGAUCUCCGGCUCUACGAUCGGCACAAGUCCGUUGUCCUGCUCGGUCGAUUCCAUUCCAUCGGUGUUAGCUUUUAUUAAUUAGCUGGAUGAACUAUCUCCAUGGCUAGAAGCAAGCAAGAAGGCGUACCUGCGAGAUGGCGGCGUAGCGGGCGAGCCCCCAUGCGGCCUCCUUGACGGCGAGCUCGGAUGGCCCGUUGGGGAUGCUGACGACGGUGCGCCACUUGGCGAAUCGGGCGCCCUGCUGGUAGUAGGCGGCCUCGCGGGCGGCGAGGCCGUCGAGGCCCUGGCACCAGGACUCGUCGUUGGAGCCGGCGAGCGGGACGAGGCCCUUGUCGACCUUGAUCCCGGGCACGAUGCCCUGCUCGGUGAGGAUGUCGACGAUCCGGCGGCCGUCGACGGCGGACUGGUAGAGCGUCUCCUCGAAAAGGAUGGCGCCGGAGAUGUAGUUGCCCAGCCCCGGCGCGGUGACCAGCAGCGUCCUGUACGCCUGCCG